AAACGACUUUCGACGACGGAUAUCUUGGCUCUCGCAUCGAUGAAGAGCGUAGUGAAAUGCGAUACUUGGUGUGAAUUGCAGAAUCCCGUGAACCAUCGAGUCUUUGAACGCAAGUUGCGCCCGAAGCCAUUAGGCCGAGGGCAUGUCUGCCUGGGCGUCAUGCAA
This 165-nucleotide ribosomal RNA is filed under the name Alangium salviifolium. Its description in RNAcentral is "5.8S ribosomal RNA". It matches the Rfam family "5.8S ribosomal RNA". From Rfam's summary of the family: 5.8S ribosomal RNA (5.8S rRNA) is a component of the large subunit of the eukaryotic ribosome. It is transcribed by RNA polymerase I as part of the 45S precursor that also contains 18S and 28S rRNA. Functionally, it is thought that 5.8S rRNA may be involved in ribosome translocation. The record is from RNAcentral. Lineage: Eukaryota; Viridiplantae; Streptophyta; Magnoliopsida; Cornales; Cornaceae.